Non-coding RNA from Phalacrocorax carbo (great cormorant), 1956 nucleotides. NCBI's taxonomy places the organism in Eukaryota, Metazoa, Chordata, Aves, Suliformes, Phalacrocoracidae. The record is from RefSeq and is a predicted model, not a curated record.
GUAACCCCGCGGUCGCUGUUCGGGGAGCGGGCCCGGGGGUGUGCCUGUGGUACCGGGAGGAGGAGGAGGCGGUGGCGGCGGCGGCAGCGGCGGCGGGGCGCCCCUGGCGUGGCUCCGGGCGAGGGCGGGGCAUCCCAGGGGCUUGUCGUGUGGGGCCGGGCGGGAGGAGCUGCCCUGGAGCAAACCCCGGGUGAUCACCCCCGCGUACCGGCUGGUUCGCGCUAAGGGGCGGACCCGGUGCUUCUGAUGAAGUCUGAGGACUCCUUUUUUAUUUUUUAAUUUUUUUUUUUCCAGAUGAAGUUCAACCUGCAAAUGCCACUCGUGAGCUCCGUCCGCUCCAGAGAAAGUCUGCAAAGAUGGAUCAUGAACAGAAGUUGUGAAAAACACAUGCAUAUUUGUCAGCAGACAAAAGGUUUUCUUCCUGAAAAGGGAAAUAAUAAACCUGCUAAGCUGCAUCAAACAACUCAUUUCUUACAAGUUAGUGAUACAGUUCUAUAAUUAUUCAGUAAUGUUUCAACAGAAUGGGUCUUCACUUGAAAAGGUCAAUGUCUGGAAGCCAGCACUCUUGACUGUAAAAUAUAUGCUAGUUUUGGCAGAAAGGUUUUAGCAAAGACGCAAUUUAUUCUGAGGGAGGAGGGUGAGAUUGUAUGAAUAUACAGUGUUCCCGUGUCUAUAGCAAAGAGCCUACCAGUGUUGGGUGAGUCAGAUUCAGGUCCCUGUUUUUCCUGAUUCAAUGAGAGUUUUGACCCCGACUUUCGCAUCACAGGUAAAACCGUAACCACCAAGCUACUGGCUGAUAUGCAAUAGGAAUCUUCCAUGUUCUUUCCUGUUUGUACAAACAAACAUUAAUUUUAGCAGACACUUGAGCUUAGGACUUCCAAUCUUUGCUUGAGCUCAGCAGCUGUUGUGGGAGAUUCCUUUUCUUCUUUCAUUAAAAACAAAUAAAUAAACACUUAAAGGAUUUUCAUGCAAAAUGUGAAAUGUGACAACAUUUUAGUUUUCUAACUUUCACAAGACAGGCAGAUGUUUCCCACACAGUUUUUUUCAGCUUUGCAGCAUGAUUCAGUUCAAGGGAAGCUUAUAUGUUAAUAGCAUUAAAAAUAAUUACUAAAUAGAAUUUACUUUGUAUUAUCAUGUUCCUUCAUGUUCUCUUGCUGUGUUUGCUCUUUCACUGUUACAUCUUAAAAUAGGCAGUAAGGACUUCAGAACAUAUAUCUUCCUAUGGAUAUUUCUUUAAUGCAUAAUGGCAGAAAACUCACGGGACACUGGUUGCAGCACUAUAUGACAUUAAUUUUUCUGCGGAAUGGCCUGCUGCGAAAUGCCAUCCAUCUUUGAUUAGUUCCUCUUCAGUGUUCUCUAACACAUUAUCACCAGUUUCUCGUCCAAAAAAAUCCCAGAUUCCUUUCAGUCAUGCACCUCUCUAAAUCUUCUACUUUUUUCCCUAUUUUUCCUUCAUGCACGUAUAAGCUGUUGAAUUCAUUCACAUUUGCUGGAACUCCACAGCUAUGACUGUACAACUAUGUGCUGUGUCCCAGGUUCUUUCAACUUUACUCUCUCUUCCCUGCCGUUGCAGUGUCACUGAAGAUCACAAAUAAGGUGGCAACCCAGUGCUAUUAUUUGAUAUGCUCAAUAAGAGAUAUACCUAACAGCUACUACUGCUUCCAAGUUUAUGUUUCCAGCUGCAACCAUGACGUUUGCAGGUCUUUCAAAUUAAACAACCCUUUCCCCCUCCACGCCCAUGUGUACAAUGAGAGUUUUUUUCAGACUGAGAAGUGAUAGGCAGUCUAAAUAGAGGAAUCAGUACUUCUGGCUGUGUAUACAAUUGGAAACAAAAACUACAACAGCCAGUGUGCUUUGUUCAGAUUUCUUUAGAAAUAUGGAUUCCCAGGCAGUAACUUGGAAACUAAAUACAUUCCUGGAUGUGGUAAAAUUUUUACAAUAGUCUCUAGUGGGAAG